This 514-nucleotide long non-coding RNA is filed under the name Ananas comosus (pineapple). RNAcentral's name for it is "long non-coding RNA (ACOM_LNC040358)". Lineage: Eukaryota; Viridiplantae; Streptophyta; Magnoliopsida; Poales; Bromeliaceae. The record is from RNAcentral.
UUAUAAUUCUUUGGGAAUACUUCAAAUAUCACUCCGGUAAUUUCACACUUUCUCACUUUAAUUAGUAUCAUGUGGUUUAAAGUGUAUCAAUUUAGUGCCAUGUGGUUUCAUUUUUAUCUUUUUAUUAUCGAUUCCACUAAUUUUUUUGUUAAAUCAGUGACAAAGUUAAAAUUAGAGGGUACUAAAGUGAAUAUUCGAUAAAUCUAGGCGAGGUAUCUGAAGUUUUUAGUAUAUAAUUUAACGAAAUGUUAACGAAAAAACUGACGAAAAAAUAAAAAUAAAACCACAGGACACUAACUUGAUGCACUUUAAACCACAAGGCACUAAAAUGAAAAAGUACGAAACCACAUGAAUAGCAUUUGAAGUUUACCCUAAUUCUUUUUAGCGAUAUAAAUAAUUUUGUCCUAAGAGGGGGAAAAAAAAGCAAGGUGUUGGUAAAAUUGUUGUUAUAUAAGACUAGGAAAACAAAGUAAAUGAUUCACGGUAUUUUGAACGUAAAAAUAUAGUGAAUGAU